Non-coding RNA from Ascaris suum (pig roundworm), 80 nucleotides. The record is from Rfam. NCBI's taxonomy places the organism in Eukaryota, Metazoa, Nematoda, Chromadorea, Rhabditida, Ascarididae.
GGCGAGAUGGCCGAGCGGUCUAAGGCGCUGGUUUAAGGCACCAGUCUCUUCGGAGGUUGGGUUCGAGCCCACCCUCGUGA